UGUGAAUGGGAGGGACAGCAUAUAGACUAGAGGAUGAGAUGGAGCCAAGGUAACGUAUGGAACAUUUCCUUUCUUCAAAAUACAGGGUCCAGACAACGGCCACCGACACCUUCACUCGGGUUCGUGGAAAACAACCUUUGAAAACGAAAUGUUAACGAGGAAACAGAGGAGAUGAGAUGAAGGUGAAGAUUUGGAUGAAGAUAUAUCUAUCGAGGAGGGUUAGUCUAUGGAUGAGGAGGACCAUGUCAUGGAGCUGGGGCGAUGAAGAAGACUCUUCACAAGACUCUUCUGAUGAGUCUUACUAGGAAACCUCUUUUCCUUCUAACUAUACUGUUUUUUUGGUGCAAUUGACUUGGGUAUGGGUAGACCUAGGCUUAAACAUUUUGUAUCUAAACGGUUAUUACUUGUUUUAUAUUACUUUAUUUGUCAUUUUGGGGUUGUAUAUGCUACUUAUUGGUUUUACCUAGACGUCUAUGUUUUGUUAUUCGUUAUGACACUUGAAACUUAUUUAUCUAUAUUUGGUGGUUAUGAAAAUUUACUUAUUUCUCAUUA
Molecule: long non-coding RNA, 552 nt
Organism: Glycine soja
Lineage: Eukaryota; Viridiplantae; Streptophyta; Magnoliopsida; Fabales; Fabaceae
Exons: 2
Source: RefSeq, a predicted model, not a curated record